This 1390-nucleotide long non-coding RNA is filed under the name Homo sapiens (human). Its description in RNAcentral is "non-protein coding lnc-RGS9-11:3". Lineage: Eukaryota; Metazoa; Chordata; Mammalia; Primates; Hominidae. The record is from RNAcentral.
AGUGAGGUCGGAAAGGCACCGCGGGGCCAGCAUUAGGGCUGAGCUAGUUCUGUGGCCUCGGGUGGGACGUUCAAUCUCUCUGGGCCUCGCCAUUCUCUUUCUUUUUAUUGCUUUUUGUUUGUUUGUUUAAGACGGAGUCUCUCUGUCGCCCAGGCUAGAGUGCAGUGGCCCAAUCUCGGCUCACUGCAACGUUUGCCUCCUGGGUUCAAGCGAUUCUCCUGCCUCACCCUACCCAGUAGCUGGGACUACAGGUGCCCACUAUCACGUCCGGCUAAUUUUUGUAUUUUUAAUAGAGACGGGGUUUCACCAUUUUGGCCAGGCUGGUCUCGAACUCCUGACCUCAGGUGAUCCGCCCGCCUUUCCCUCCCAAAGUGCUGGAAUUACAGGCGUGAGCCACCGCGUCCGGCCUCAGUUCUUUUGAAGUCAUUUUACCAUCCUCUGGAUUUUCCUCAUCCUAAUUCUCCUUCCCAGUCUCCAGGAAAGACAGGCACAUUUUCUUGAUGACUUCAGCACUUGUAACCCCUUGUUGGCUCUCCUUAGAGGACAUUAACUCUGUGUGUUUGAACCUUUCAACUUCGAGGAUCUCCUCAGCCCAUCCUUAUUUGUUCACCCUUCUGGAUCAUGAAAUCUCCAAAUUUGUCUUUUGAACCCAGUGCCCAUAUCCACCCUCACCUGAACCCAUUCUUGAAUAAAAUGCAUUCCUACCAUGACUGUUCUCAAAGUUUGAAGUUGAGCAUACCGAUGCGCCACUCCUGCUUCAAUGCUUGAGAAGUCGUAGGCUUUCUUCUAUGUGCCUUUUGACUGGGCGCCUAUCUCCCGACAGCCUGAGGUGGUGUAGCAUAGGGGCGAAGGUGGUCUGUGCUUGAAUCCCAAAACCCUCACUAGCGUGGGACCUGUGCCAGUUACUUGACCUCUUUUUCAUUUCUUCACUAGUUUGUAAAACGGACACAAUUACAGCACAUCUUUUAUUGUUAUUAUUUGACACGAAGUCUCACUCUGUCACCCAUGCUGGAGUGCAGUGGCGUGAUCUUGGCUCACUGCAACCUCUGCCUCCUGGGUUCAAGCGAUUCUCGUGCCUCAGUCUCCCGAGUAGCUGGGAUUACAGGCACGCACCACCACGCCCGGCUAAUUUUUGUAUUUUUAGUAGAGACGGGGUUUCACCAUGCUGGCCAGGCUGGUCUCAAACUCCUGACCUCAGGUGAUCCAUCUAUCUCGGCCUCCGAAAGUGCAGGGAUUACAGGCAUGAGCCACCGCGCCCCGCCUACAGCACAUCUUAGCAGAAUUUUAGGGAUCAAAUGAGUUCCUUUGGAUACUGUGCCUGUUUUUGACUGAACGGCUGUCUUCUGACAUCCUGAGUGGCUUCUUUAGCUUAGUUGUCACCUCUUCUAUA